GGGCAAGAUCCGCUUGAAACGAAGGGCGGUUGUGUCGUUUUAACCAACGCGUCUGAGUUAGAUAUAAACAGGAACUGGUCGUCAAAGGAAGCACCAGUUUACUUUUAAGAAGAAUAGAAAUGGUGUCAACGAGUGGGGUGUUUUGUCUGUUGUUGGUCGCGAUCAUGUGGGGGGGCACAAACCCAUUCCUGAAAUAAGGCACAGAGGGCAUUGAAGGGGUUCUGGCUGAGAUCAAAUUUCUGUUUCUCAAUAUCAAGGUGUGUUUUAUAAUCCUUUUAUGCGCAUAUAACAAGUGCUUAUGAGAAUUUUUGUGUGUCUAAUUAAUUAUAAUUAAUUAAUCUGUUUAUUAUUUAAUAUAGUAUUUGGUCCCAUUCCUGUUGAACCAAAGUGGAUCAUUUGUGUUCUACUUCACUCUUGCUUCUACAGUUGAGAAGUUUCUUUUUCUCCACAAGUUUCUAGGUUUUUCUGUCUGUUCUUAGCAUCAUAGUAUCAUACUACUAUUUCUGCAGUAGGCUAUAUAUGAGGCUGAAGCUGGAUUACCUAAUAAAAAUACAACAUGACAAUUUGAAAUGUCUUUUUUAAUUUAAACUCAGCUUCGUACGGUCAUGAAAAACCUGGAAAAGUCAUGGAAUUUUAAAAUAGCAAUUUCCAGGCUUGGAAAAGUUUUGGAAAUCUAUUUCACAAAACGUAUAAUAGAGUUAUGUCAAUAAAGCCCUAUGCUUCAGCCAAUAACAGACAGGUCUGACUCGGGUGCAAAACCAAUCAAAACUUCCAGUUCAGCUGCGGGGGCGGGGCGUUCAAACGCUUUGCUUUGAGUGUCAAUCAAAGGCGUUGUCGUUUUGAAUCAGCAUCAUUAGCGUUUCAGUAUUUUAGUGAAUGUUAGCUAUGCUCUGAUUUAAAAUAGCAAAUUUGUCAGCUCCUGAAAUGGGUCAUACCGUUGAUAUUACAAGAGCACACAGCAGUAAAUAGAAAACUCGGUUGAUAGAAGGACAGUCAUUGCAUGGAUGGAACGAGAGCAAUGAAAGUGUGUAAAAUACAAGCACACAGUUCAGUUGAAUGAUAAAAUCGCCAUCUUUAACAGUGACGUUAAACUAAAUGUACUACGAAGCUAAAAUAACCUCAACAUUAAAGGGAUAGUUCACACAAAAUGAAAGUUUGAUGUUUAUCUGCUUACCCCCAGGGCAUCCAAGAUGUUACAUUAACAUGUAAAGACACAAAACGAUCGGUCUGUGCAAGGAACUGAACAGUAUUUAUAUAGGUUUUUUUUUUUUUCAACCUCUGAUGCACUGCAAUGCCUGAACUGAGCCCAUCCUCGACACAUCGCAGUCUUAUAAGUGCAUUACCGCCACCUAUCUCUCAAAUGGAUCAUUGACACUAUCUACAAUCUCAAUUGGGAGUGUCAAGCUGUGUUGAGGACGCGCUCAGCACAGUUCAGACAGUUCAGGCAUUGCAGUGUAUCAGAGAUCUGUCUCUGGCUGCUCCCAUGGUGAACUCCCUCACAUUUCUGUUCAUGUUGCUAAUGGGUAAAUUGCUUGGAGAAGAGAUUGAAGGAAAGAGAGCUGUGCUGGGUAUGUUACUCAUCAUGUCUGGAGUGACUGUGUGUGUGCUGAGUUCUGUCUCUGAGACGGACAGCGCAGAAGCCCACAACACCAGUGACCACUAAAUUCCACUGGACUAGGAGGUGAAGGAGGAAUGUGGAUCUGCUCCAGCCAUGUGAUCACACUUCUCACACACAUUCAUCCAACACAAUAUAUGUGCUGCUCCAUUUUCAGUAUAUGCUGUGAAUUUGUGCCAAGAGGAGGUGAUGGAUAACUUUAUAUCUGUACUUGAACCAUGCUGAUGAAAUCCAAAUGUUUUGCACUUUAAUUGCAACUGUGGAAAGAGUCACUUUUAAGUGUGUGGAUUGUGUAACAUACAAAAUACUUGUAUAUAUUGUACUAUUAACUGAUAUUUAUAUGGAUCCGUAUUAAUAAUGUGAAAGUGCCCAGUGUUUAAAUACUUUUAUUUUAAAUGUCUUUUACAUCUAGGUAUUAUUUUUGUUAAACAGAAGAAAUAAAAAAAUAAAAAC
Molecule: long non-coding RNA, 2068 nt
Organism: Cyprinus carpio (common carp)
Lineage: Eukaryota; Metazoa; Chordata; Actinopteri; Cypriniformes; Cyprinidae
Exons: 4
Source: RefSeq, a predicted model, not a curated record